ACAUUUCCUAUUCUUGUAGGAAUAUAAGAAUUCCUUUUCUUAUAGGAAACACUACAUUAGACAAAAUGGCAUUUAGCUCUUUUAAGAAUAAGAACUGAACCCUAUUCACUGAUGUUAUCAUGACUUACAUUUUGCAUAUAAACUGAAAUCAGAGUACCAAAUUUAAAAUCAACUUCUUGAUUCUGGGCACUGCUAGCCCAAUUCCAUAUACAUCCAGUAGAGGGCAGUGUUUCACACCCACUUAACUCUACUAGCUCAUGUCAAGUGAGAUACAGUAUUCAAAUCUUAGAACUGAAGUGUAGGGAUCAAAUCUUCAUUUUCCAAAUAUUAUAGCAUAAAAGUUAUUGUUGUUGUGCUAUAAGAAGUUAUGGCUGUAAUAAAAUACAAAGAAGCAUGAAAAGACUUACAUGAACUGAUGCAAAGUAUAGUAAGGAGAGCCAAGAAAACAAAACCAUACAAUGAUUACAGCAAUGAAAAUAUGAUAAUGACCGCAAGACAGUGAAAAAUGAGUGUGCCAAAAUGACAACAAGGUUGGCUUCAAAAAAGAGAUAUAAGAAAUCUCCAUUUGUUUUAAGGGGGAGGACAGUUCCAGGUAUGGAAUAUUAUACAUAAUGCAAUAGUUUUUCAAUGUAUUGAUUAGUUUUGUAGAAUUUUUCUCUUCCUAUUUUUUUUUAAUAAGUUAUUAUAAAGGAUCUCUGGGAGCAGGAAGCAGGAGGGACAUAAGGGGAAAUUUAAGUAAUAUGAAAACUUUUAAAAGAGAAUAAAAAUCUUUUAAAAAGAAAAUGUAUAGGCUCUUUCCAAAACUAGAUUGGAAAAAUGUACCAUUCAUCAAAAAUGUACCAUCCAAUCAAAAUUAAUAUCUAAGCAACAAAAGUAUGGUUUCAUGGGGAAACUGUAAACAUUGUUUCAACAUCUUAUUUACUCGAUGUCAAAUUUUAUAAAAUAAUUGGCUACAAAAAGUUUUUUAAAGGUGUUAAAAUGUUAUUGGGAACAUUCAACUUUAUGAAUCUACAGAACUCUGGUUCUUUUCAUCCAUGGGGGAAAUUGUUUUAAAAAUAAUUUUGUUUUUGAUAAUUGGACUGCGAAGUGCAAUUAUAUAAUUUAGUAAACAGAGAAUAAAACAUCUGGAAUGUA
Molecule: long non-coding RNA, 1134 nt
Filed under: Sarcophilus harrisii (Tasmanian devil)
Lineage: Eukaryota; Metazoa; Chordata; Mammalia; Dasyuromorphia; Dasyuridae
Description: lncRNA (ENSSHAG00000023593.1)
Source: RNAcentral